UAACCAGGAUUCCCCUAGUAACGGCGAGUGAACAGGGAUUAGCCCAGCACCGAAGCCUGUGGUCGUUUGGUCACUAGGCAAUGUGGUGUUUAGGCCGGUUCUUGGUAUUACUGCUUUAUCCCAAGUCCAGCAAUGAGUACGGCUUGUUGUAGUGGCCCUGAGAGGGUGAAAGGCCCGUGGGGGUUUAGCAGAUUUUGCCCUGGACUGACCUUGGAGUCGGGUUGUUUGUGAAUGCAGCCCAAAGUGGGUGGUAAACUCCAUCUAAGGCUAAAUACUGGCACGAGUCCGAUAGCAAACAAGUACCGUGAGGGAAAGUUGAAAAGUACUUUGAAGAGAGAGUAAAGAGUGCGUGAAACCGCUCAGAGGUAAACGGGUGGAGUUGAACUGCAAUCCAUGAGGAUUCAGCUGUCAAGUAUGAUAUGCGUUUGGGCAUCAUAGCCCGCUCUCCAAGGCCGCGUGACUGUGGGUUCCUACUCUCUGGGUGGGAAUGUGCGCUGCGCUUGUCAAGUGCUGUACACUUGGGGGGUGAGGGGUUAACUUGUCAGUGCACUUUCUUGUGGUGUUCACCACGACCGGCGCUGCCGUCUGUCUGCUGUGGUCAAACCGGUUAGGCUUGGUCUUUUGGUCAGGCUUGGUCGGGAUGGCAGGUAGCUCUUUGGUUCUUGUUGGCUUCNGCUUGCAUGAGUCAAUGAGUGUAAUCAGCUGGCUGGGGUAGAUCAGUGCGGUGCGUCGGGGCUAGCGGCUUUGGUGUGUGCAUGUGUGCUAUGGCUUUCUGGC
RNAcentral lists this ribosomal RNA (777 nucleotides) under Neospirorchis sp. Neogen13_SC. Its description in RNAcentral is "LSU rRNA". It matches the Rfam family "Eukaryotic large subunit ribosomal RNA", at positions 66 to 628 of the family's 3401-position model. The record is from RNAcentral. Lineage: Eukaryota; Metazoa; Platyhelminthes; Trematoda; Strigeidida; Spirorchiidae.